Molecule: non-coding RNA, 218 nt
Organism: Cucurbita pepo subsp. pepo (vegetable marrow)
Lineage: Eukaryota; Viridiplantae; Streptophyta; Magnoliopsida; Cucurbitales; Cucurbitaceae
Source: RefSeq, a predicted model, not a curated record
UACGACAGCACCCGACGUCAAGGAUUUAGUUUCCUUUGCCACGAGAAGGUGGUCGAUAUUUUUACAAAUGGAGAUUAAAUGAUGAAUUACUACAAUACGGAGGUACAUUUCUCAAGGAUUGAUCAAGAACAACAUUGAGGAUUGAAGAUUUGUUUACUUAAACUGAGAUUUGAAAUUUGUUUUGUUCUUGAUCAAUGAAUUCCAUGAAUAUUUCGCCU